This 232-nucleotide long non-coding RNA is filed under the name Setaria italica (foxtail millet). RNAcentral describes it as "long non-coding RNA (SITA_LNC006585)". The record is from RNAcentral. Lineage: Eukaryota; Viridiplantae; Streptophyta; Magnoliopsida; Poales; Poaceae.
GAGCAAGUUUAAUAACGCAGCUAGCAAGCGGGCUGCAAGGUUUCUCCCAGCCUUUUUCUAGCCCACUCGUACAAUGGUUAGCUCUUCACCAUUAAUACAUGGUCCACAAGUCAUUCUCACAAAGUUUCUUGGUUCCUGUGUCCAAAUCGGCUGUAAGCUUAUAGCCCGCUUCUCCUCUCUCACCUCUUCUCUCUCCUCCACGUCAGCAUUCAGCCAGCUUACAGCCCCUUAU